AGGAUGAACGCUGGCGGCGUGCCUAAUACAUGCAAGUCGAGCGGUAAGGCCCCUUCGGGGGUACACGAGCGGCGGACGGCUGAGUAACACGUAGGAACGUACCCCAAACUGAGGGAUAAGCACCAGAAAUGGUGUCUAAUACCGCAUGUGGUCUUCGGAUUAAAGCUUCGGCGGUUUGGGAACGGCCUGCGCAUGAUUAGCUUGUUGGUGAGGUAAAAGCUUACCAAGGCGACGAUCAUUAGCUGGUCUGAGAGGAUGAUCAGCCAGACUGGGACUGAGAACGGCCCAGACUCCUACGGGAGGCAGCAGUAGGGAAUUUUCCACAAUGGGCGAAAGCCUGACGGAGCAACGCCGCGUGCAGGACGAAGGCCUUCGGGUUGUAAACUGCUUUUAUAUGUGAAGAUUAUGACGGUAGCAUAUGAAUAAGGAUCGGCUAACUCCGCGCCAGCAGCCGC
RNAcentral lists this ribosomal RNA (455 nucleotides) under uncultured bacterium. RNAcentral describes it as "SSU rRNA". It matches the Rfam family "Bacterial small subunit ribosomal RNA", at positions 26 to 518 of the family's 1533-position model. The record is from RNAcentral.